Long non-coding RNA from Macaca fascicularis (crab-eating macaque), 1708 nucleotides. NCBI's taxonomy places the organism in Eukaryota, Metazoa, Chordata, Mammalia, Primates, Cercopithecidae. The record is from Ensembl.
CCAGCUGUAACCCAAGCAGGAAGGUCCAAUGCUGGCACCUCUUUCUAGAAUGGAGACUGAUGUUGACUAAACAGCUUUAGACUAACAUCCUGGACUCGAUAUAAAAUUCUUCUUCCUCCUAGCCAGCUGUUCUUUGCACUUACAUGUAAGUUUUAUUUUCUCUGCUUUCUCCUGAGAUUAGGGGCUAGCUUGUUCCCUAAUGUUGAUUAGUGGGGUUCUGCCUUGCUCUCUGUGCUUGAGUCCCCAUCAAGGUUAUGACACCAGUACCCUAGUCACAUUAGGAUUAGGACCUCUGAGGAACUAAAGACCUAUGUACUUCUAUCAGCUUCAGUUACAUAUCAACUUUGAGGAGAAUUGAAUGGGUGAAUCCCAGUUACCUAAUGAUAGGCUUCCCAGAAGCCAAUUCUCCAUACAUAUCUGUAGACUUCAAGGAUUACACAAGAGCACCGUGAAGCCAGAGAGUGACAAAAGGACAUCAUGCCUGCUAAACACUGAAAGAAUAUAUUCAAAAUGCUAUAUGAGUCAUUACCCAGAUAGGAAAACCAAAGCAUAUCACUUACUUUAAAAGCAAUAAUUCAAUAUACAGAAUGGUUAAACACAAAAGUGGCUAAACAAGUAUUAGAGGAUGAAAUGUGGAAAGAAAACACUAAGAUAACAAAAAUGUAAUAGAAGAUGAGAAGCCCAGAUUCCCUCUCACGGAAGGACAAGGUGUCCCCGGGGUCAGCAACCAGCCUUGAGCUUUCAGCUACUUCACCGUUUGACACAGCUGCAGCGAGUUAGCCUGCCCCCAAGAACUGGUAACAGGGACUCUACUUCUGGUGGAGCACAAACAGCCCCUGGCACAAGGUGGGUAUUCCAAUGGUUAAAACUCUUAUCAGUAAUGACUAGGGAUAUGUGCCACUGAGGAAGAAAUCACUAACAGAUGAACCAGAGCAAGGGUUUGAGUUGUAUUCAUUUUCUAAACUAUACAACAAAUUACCACAAGCUUAGUGUCUUAAGCAAAAUACAUUUAUUAUCUCACAGUUUCCAUUUGUGAGGAGUUGGGGCAGGCUUAGCUAGGUCUUUGGCUCAGGGUCCCACAGGGCUACAGUCAAGGCACUAGCUGAGCUGCAUUCUCAUCAAAGGCUGGACUGGGGAAAGAUCUGCUUCCAAGCUCACUCAGGUUGUCGCGGGUUUCAUUUUCUGGCAGUUGUAGAACUCAUGGCCACUGGCUUCUUCAAAGUCAGCAACAGAAGUGUCUGCAGCUUUAAGUCUUACUUCCAGACCCUUCUUAAAAGGGAUCACCUGGUCCCACCCAGAAAAAUCUCCCUUUUGAUUAACUUAAAGUCAAUUAGUUAAGGGUCUUAAUGACAUCUGUAAAUUUCCCGCAUUUGCUAUAGCCUGGUUAGAAGCAAGUUACAUGUCUCACUCAAGCUUGAGGGGAGAAGAAUACAUAAAGGCAGAUACCAGGGGGAUGGGAUGCAAGGGGGACAUCUUAGAAUUCUGCCUACCACAAGAGGUAAGGAGGAAAUCGGAGCUAGAAGAAUAAAAGCAUUGAAGAGUGAUUGCUAAGUGCCUUUGAUACUACAGCAAGAUAGUGAACAGCUGAUGGCAAUUACAAUCCAGGCAUGAAUGUCAGUAUCCUCUCUGACGGCAUACAAAGUGACCCUCAUUUCCUUCCAGGGGAAGAUAAAGAAAUCCAAGUGGCUGAACCUAAAAAAAAAAAAAA